Molecule: non-coding RNA, 3579 nt
Organism: Chlorocebus sabaeus (green monkey)
Lineage: Eukaryota; Metazoa; Chordata; Mammalia; Primates; Cercopithecidae
Source: RefSeq, a predicted model, not a curated record
AAAAAAUAUAAAUACUUGUCAACCUUCCUGAAAGAAAAUUUAAAGCAUAUUUGGUGUUGGUUAAAUGCUGAAUCUAGUAGAAUAUAAACAGAUGAUAAAUAUACUUACUAUGUCAGCUUAGAAACAUACCUCAUCUCCACCAAAUGAAAGUUAAAGCUGAGAGAGACGUUACACUUUGAGUAAAGACAUUGUGUCACUGAUGAAAUUUUAAGUUUAAGAUUUUUAAUAGAUGAACGUUAAUGACAUUGGGUUUUACUGUUGAAAUAAAGGUUUUAAUGUCUCUUUGUCACCACAUUUUAUGACCACAUUGAAGCAGAUAAAUGGGAAUGCCCAUAUCAGCAAUUAGUAUUUUGAAAUUCAGAUUCAGUUCAGCAAUCUACCUUGACAAUUAAUUAUAAAUUUUCCAGAGGAACUGAAGUGUAUUUGAAGUAUAUUUUGAAGUGUACAUUUCUGCAUCUUGUAAUAAUACUUUUUUUCAGUAGCUUUUUGUAUAUUUUAGUUGAUAUAAUUUUAUUUUCAUUUAUGUCAAUUUGACUUAAAUCUGAACAUAUUUGAAUCUCAAAUUAUGUAUUGUUAUAACCUCUCAAUUUUUUAAAGACAUCUGCAUUUUAUUAAAUAAUACCUUAGGAAAAAUGUAGUGAAUUUUAUAAUAUCAAAUUUGAUUUAAUCACCCCACUGGUAUUUAUAACUUAUUUUGAAUAUUGUUACAAAUAAUUUGCUCAUAAUUUAUAUUUCAAAGCUCAAAGACUAUCAUGUCCCAGAGAAAGGUCAUUGCAGCUAUCUGUGAUUUAUUAGCUUUGCAUUGGAUCCCCAUUUUACAAUUCAUGUGGGGUGGCAAGGUUCAUGUAUAGUACAAAAUAAGCGAGUAGAGAAGAGAAACAUAGCAGUUGAGGUCAGGAGAGAUGUGGAGAGCAGGUUACCUAGGGUCUCUAAAGGCUUUAAAAUAAAAAUAGUUUUAUUCUGAGAUAGAAAUCUAUUGGAAAAAUUUCAACAGGUGAUUGAAUAUGUGAGGAACUUUGAUGUUGAUUUGUGCUUCUAAUAUAGAAGAAAGAAAGCAUUCCACUGUGUAGAAUUUACCACCACCAGUCCUGCCCCAACUUUUUUUUUUUUUUUUUUUUUUUUUUUGGAGACUGCAGUAGGUUGUGAAGCAUUACAGAUUCAUUAGGGGACAAAUAAAUGACUAGUGGGAUGAACCUGGUGUCUAGUAAGAGACUACCAGUUUGGCAGGAAGAUAGCACCUUCUUUUGUCCUUGAGUGGAUUCAGUAAUAAGCAGCAAUGUGUACAAAUGAAGAAAAUAAGCUGAAUCAAUAUAUUUGGGGAUUUUUUUAAAAGUAAAUAUUGUUAAUUUGAUAAGAUGAUUUACAAAAUCAAUAACAAAUAUGUCUUGUCAGGUCAUUGUGAGACAACUUCAAAAACAAUUGGCUGAUCUCAAUAAACAGUGUGUGUCUGAGACCUCACUAGAACUUACAUCACAUUAUCACAUUAAUCUCAAAGAUGAGAUAUAGGAUUUAAUGAAGAAAUGAUUUCAAGUCAAAAGUCAAAACUCAUGAGAGACAAGCAGAGACCAGUAAGAAACUUCUUUUGGAGAAACAACAGACCAGAUCUUUAUUCACAACUCAUGCUAGGAGGCCAGUCCCAGAUUUACCUUGUGUUGGAAAUCUUACCAAUAGUUUGAGUCGACAGAAUACUUAUUUUAGAAGAAAAAUUCAUGAUUUCUUCCUGAAGCCUACUACAUAAAAUAACAGUGCAAAGACCUACUUGUUCAAGGUUAUAUAAUAGUGUAACAUUGCCAAGAAGUGGAUUAUCUCAUCUUCAUCCUGUAAUUCCAGUGUUUGUCACAUGGUUGUUGAAUAAAUGAAUAAAGAAUGAGAAAGCCAGAAGCUCUGAUACAUAGUCAUAAUGAUAAUUAUUUCAAUGCACAACUAUGGGUGGUGCUGAACUACAAUCAAUAUUUUCUGCAACUGGCUCCUCUAGGAUCUACUGAUUUAAAUCUAAAAGAUGAAGUCAGUAAAGCAUCAGAAAAAAAGAUACGUGUUGACCAGUGGUCCUGCCACUGCCUAUCUAUUUGUUGAAAAUAUUGUUUACACAGUGAUUAGCAGAUUUCCCCGUUCUUCAAAUGGCCAUUUCACAUCUACCUGCAAAGGAGAGCAACACUCAGAAUGGUGGUGUUUCUCAAAUCAUCCAAGUUCAGUCAUCUGACUGUCUGGGGAAGCACACUGACUGGUCUGGUGUUCUUUGGCAUCUACUUAACCAUCUGGUCCCCCAUUCUUAUUGCACUAAAUAUGAGAGGACAGGUAAGUAUGCCAGAUUGGAAGUUUGCCUUCUGUGUCUUGUGAUAACAGUGUUUCUCCAUGUGUAGGCAAGCAGGCUCUCUGUGUUUUGCAACUGUAUUGAGGUUCAGUAGAGGCUGGUGCUACCUGUUUCUAUCAGGAUCUAUCAGGAGGUAAACCAAAUUAAAGAAUCUGGAAGAUGUCAUCUAGUCCACAGAAAUGGCAUUUUAAAUUUAAAGUAUUAUAAAAAGUCAACCUAAACCCCCUUACUUACCUGGCAUGUCCACAUUUUCAUAAUAAAUUAUGUGUUAAUUGCACAUCAUACUGAUAUGUACACUUUAUGGCCCUUUGGAAACUGGAGCUAUUUUGAGUUAUUCAUAAUCCAGUGAUUAUAUUGGUUACAGUUUUGAUGUUGUACUCUGAUUAGUAGUUAUCCUCUGUUGAGUCAUCUGUGGAAGUUAAAUCUAACAGCUCUAUGAACCAGUAUCUCUUUGAACUAGAGAGGCUGAGAUUAAAGGUCUUUAUACUCACUUGAAUGUCUUUUUAUUUUUUUCUUUUAUACUACCUUUUUCUAGUGCAUGAGAUUGAGCCAUCAACUGUGACAAACUGGAUCAUGGAAUCUCACAGUAUCAAGUUUGGAUAGAAAGGAGCUUGGCAGUCUUGUGGUCCACACCUCCUCAAUUGACCAAGGAAGCUGUGCAAGCACAGGUCUCCAGGUUCAUCCCAGAGACCCCACCCUGGGGUUGCCCACAGCAAUCCUGUCCUUAGACCCCCAAAACAGGCUGCUGGGCCCUAUGUUUUAGGGACCUCUGCACUGGCCCUCCUUCGCUGGGUGUAUUUCUCUGCACAGAGUGAAAAGCUGUGAUGCACACAGCCCCUUCUAGUGUGUUCUCUGGGCUCCCAGGAACCCAGGCCUCUUUCUCAAACAGCCAAAUGCCCAUUACCAAGGCCUGCUUGGGCCUCCUUCCAGAUGCAGGCCAGAUUGCACAACCCUAGGUCCAAGGGGCAACUGUUUGCAAGGGGUGUGCACUGAGUAGAUUGAUGUUUGCACUGGUGUUUCCACCCACGUUUAAAGGAGGAUGUUCAUGCUGGGGCACAGAACCCAGUGGAAAGGGAAGAACAGUGGGUCAGACUUUAAUUGGUGUUUCCCACCCAGGAAUACAUAUUUUAGGGGCAGGUCUGUGCAUGGCACAGCUGUCUGCUAUCUCUGCCUCACUUACUCUGCAGAAGUAAAUGAAACCCCUGGGUUGACUGCAGUCUAGACUGUGUCCAACAGCUGUUUUUUGUGAGGUAGCCCUUAGUAGUGUU